AACGCACAUUGCGCCCGCCGGUACUCCGGCGGGCAUACCUGUUCGAGCGUCGUCUCAACCCUCGGGCCCCCGGGCUCGGUGUUGGGGAUCGGCCCCCCCGCGGCGGCCGGCCCUGAAAUCCAGUGGCGGUCUCGCCGUCGCCUCCCCUGCGUAGUAGCAACACCUCGCACCGGAGCGCGGCGCGGCCACGCCGUAAAACCCCCCACUCUCAAGGUUGACCUCGAAUCAGGUAGGACUACCCGCUGAACUUAA
Molecule: unclassified non-coding RNA, 252 nt
Filed under: uncultured Hypocreales
Lineage: Eukaryota; Fungi; Ascomycota; Sordariomycetes; Hypocreales
Description: sequence contains 5.8S rRNA gene, ITS2, 28S rRNA gene
Rfam family: 5.8S ribosomal RNA (bases 1-52)
Source: RNAcentral